Molecule: long non-coding RNA, 1298 nt
Filed under: Ananas comosus (pineapple)
Lineage: Eukaryota; Viridiplantae; Streptophyta; Magnoliopsida; Poales; Bromeliaceae
Description: long non-coding RNA (ACOM_LNC025484)
Source: RNAcentral
AAUAUACUGCUAUACUCUUAUAUAAAAAUUAGACCUGACAAUUUCUACCAUAACCGCUAAUUACCAGUAAAUUUACGGAUAUUGAUAUUAUUUUUUCUUACCUAAAAAAUUAUAGGUAAAACGAAUGGGCAUCUGUUAAGUGGUGGGUAUUUUGGGCAACCCGCAAGUACCCAUGGGUAGUUGCAUAUAUUUUUCUAAUUAUAAAAUAUAGGAUAAACUUCAAAUACUUCCUGUGGUUUCACACGUUCUCACUUCAGUACCUUGUGGUUUAAAGUGUAUCAAGUUAGCCCCUAUGGUUCACACUUUCUCACUUUAGUACCAUGUGGCUUAAAGUGUAUCAAGUUAGUAUCCUAUGGUUUUAUUUUUUUUUUUAUUAUACAUUUCACUAAUUAUGUUACUGUUUUAAAACAACAAAACCGCAUAACCACCACCUACCUGGCCGCAAGGGUAUGAGAAAAGAUGUUGACUAAUGUGACCUGUAGGGACAAUGAACCGUCUAUUGAUUAUCUAAUCUGUCUAUUUGUCAGGUCUAAUAAAGGUUUUAUUUUUUUAAAAAAAAUAAAAGGCGAUAAUAGUUAGUGAAAAUCUAAUAACAUUUUGGGUGCGUUUGGUUCGCGCUAUCUUUUAAAGAUUCCUAAUAAUCCAAUAGGAAUAAAAAAAUAUGGCGGUGUUUGGCUAAACGCACUAAGUAAUCUAGUUGGUAAUAUUGGAUUCACUUGGGAAUAAGAUUCACCCCAAAGUACUAAUCUCAUUCGCUUGAGGGAGGGUGGGUAUUCUCAUAUUAAUGGAUUGGGGUAAUCAUAAUAUGUCUAAUCUCUUUCUUUCUUCCUACCCGCCGGUUAAUUGAUAUUAUUUUUUUUUACACUCUAACCUUAUAUCUCUCUCUAAACAUAUUUUUCUCUCUAAAAUUCAACUUUUUUUUCUCUCUCUAAACUAAGCUUUCUCUCUCUCUCUUUCUAAAAUUUCAACUCUCUCACUCCUUCUAAUUUCGACUAUAUUUUUCUUUCUAUUUUUUUAAUUAUGCUCUCUCUCUCUAACUUAUACUCUCUCUCCUUUUUUUCUAAAAAGAUGUUGAAACUUUUGGUAACAUUAUCUAAAAUUAAUUAAAUAAAUAAAUUAAUUAAUUGUAUAUUUUUUUGUAAUAAUAAAUAAAAUGACUAAUUAAUAUUACUGUGCGAACCAAACACAGAAAUUUUACAUUCUUAGUAAUAGGAUGAAUAGGAAUAAGAUUCUCGGAUAUCUUUUAUUCCUAGUAAUCUUUCAUAAUGCGAACCAAACGCACCCUUUAAGGUAUCUUU